GGGCUUGACAUCCCACGAACCUGCCCGAAAAGGUGGGGUGCCCGCAAGGGAGCGUGGAGACGGGUGGUGCAUGGCUGUCGUCAGCUCGUGUCGUGAGAUGUUGGGUUAAGUCCCGCAACGAGCGCAACCCUCACCCCUAGUUGCCACCGGGUUAAGCCGAGCACUCAAGGGGAACUGCCAGCGUCAAGCUGGAGGAAGGCGGGGAUGACGUCAAGUCAUCAUGCCCCUUACGCCCUGGGCUACACACGUGCUACAAUGGCCAGCACAAAGGGACGCGAGACUGCGAAGUGGAGCUAAUCCCAAAAAGCUGGUCUAAGUUCAGAUCGCAGUCUGCAACUCGACUGCAUGAAGGAGGAAUCGCUAGUAAUCGCGCAUCAGCCCGGCGCGGUGAAUACGUUCCCGGGCCUUGUACACACCGCCCGUCACACCACGAAAUCUGUCUGUACUCGAAGUCGCUGAG
This 460-nucleotide ribosomal RNA is filed under the name uncultured Methylomirabilota bacterium. Its description in RNAcentral is "bacterial SSU rRNA". It matches the Rfam family "Bacterial small subunit ribosomal RNA", at positions 977 to 1434 of the family's 1533-position model. Lineage: Bacteria; Methylomirabilota (SeqCode). The record is from RNAcentral.